RNAcentral lists this ribosomal RNA (434 nucleotides) under uncultured Sphingobacteriales bacterium. Its description in RNAcentral is "bacterial SSU rRNA". It matches the Rfam family "Bacterial small subunit ribosomal RNA", at positions 408 to 840 of the family's 1533-position model. The record is from RNAcentral. Lineage: Bacteria; Pseudomonadati; Bacteroidota; Sphingobacteriia; Sphingobacteriales.
AAGAGGCCCUUCUGGGUGGUAAAUUGUUUUUACCAGGAGAUAAAAUCUCCUUGCGUGGAAAAUUGAAGGUACCUGGAGAAUAAGCACCGGCUAACUUCGUGCCAGCAGCCGCGGUAAUACGUAGGGUGCAAGCGUUAUCCGGAUUCAUUGGGUUUAAAGGGUGCGUAGGCGGGUUAUUAAGUCAGUGGUGAAAUCCGGCAGCUCAACUGUAGAUGUGCCAUUGAUACUGCUAGCCUUGAGUACAGUUGAGGUAGGCGGAAUAUGUCGUGUAGCGGUGAAAUGCUUAGAUAUGACCAAGAACACCGAUAGCGAAGGCAGCUUACUAGGCUGUAACUGACGCUGAGGCACGAAAGUGUGGGGAUCAAACAGGAUUAGAUACCCUGGUAGUCCACACUGUAAACGAUGAUCACUCGCUGUGGCGAUACUACAGUCAG